UACGGAGGGUGCAAGCGUUAAUCGGAAUUACUGGGCGUAAAGCGUGCGCAGGCGGUUUGUUAAGUCUGUUGUGAAAUCCCCGAGCUCAACUUGGGAAUUGCAAUGGAUACUGGCAGGCUGGAGUAUGGUAGAGGAAGGUGGAAUUCCCGGUGUAGCAGUGAAAUGCGUAGAGAUCGGGAGGAACACCAGUGGCGAAGGCGAGUCCCUGGAAAACACCUGACACUGAGGCACGAAAGCUAGGGGAGCAAACAGG
This 253-nucleotide ribosomal RNA is filed under the name uncultured bacterium. RNAcentral describes it as "partial 16S ribosomal RNA". It matches the Rfam family "Bacterial small subunit ribosomal RNA", at positions 524 to 776 of the family's 1533-position model. The record is from RNAcentral.